RNAcentral lists this ribosomal RNA (819 nucleotides) under uncultured eukaryote. Its description in RNAcentral is "SSU rRNA". It matches the Rfam family "Eukaryotic small subunit ribosomal RNA", at positions 629 to 1426 of the family's 1831-position model. The record is from RNAcentral.
CGGUGUUUAACUGGCGUGAUGUGGGACGUCCUACCGGUGGGCUUAGCCUCGCGAGGGGCGGCCCAACUAAUAUCCCGUCGCGGUGCUCUUUACUGAGUGUCGAGUCGGGCCGGUACGUUUACUUUGAACAAAUUAGAGUGCUUAAAGCAGGCUAUCCUCGCCUGAAUACUGCGUGCAUGGAAUAAUGGAAUAGGACCUCGGUUCUAUUUUGUUGGUUUUCGGAACCCCGAGGUAAUGAUUAAUAGGGACAGAUGGGGGCAUUCGUAUUGCGACGUUAGAGGUGAAAUUCUUGGAUCGUCGCAAGACGGACAGAAGCGAAAGCAUUUGCCAAAAAUGUUUUCAUUAAUCAAGAACGAAAGUUAGAGGUUCGAAGGCGAUCAGAUACCGCCCUAGUUCUAACCAUAAACGAUGCCAGCUAGCGAUCCGCCGAAGUUCCUCCGAUGACUCGGCGGGCAGCUUCCGGGAAACCAAAGCUUUUGGGUUCCGGGGGAAGUAUGGUUGCAAAGCUGAAACUUAAAGGAAUUGACGGAAGGGCACCACCAGGAGUGGAGCCUGCGGCUUAAUUUGACUCAACACGGGAAACCUCACCAGGCCCAGACACCGGAAGGAUUGACAGAUUGAUAGCUCUUUCUUGAUUCGGUGGGUGGUGGUGCAUGGCCGUUCUUAGUUGGUGGAGCGAUUUGUCUGGUUAAUUCCGAUAACGAACGAGACUCUAGCCUGCUAAAUAGGCGUACCUUAUGGUAUCGCGAAGGCCCCCGGCUUCGGCCGGCGGGUUUUUACUACCAACGUACAAACAAAUCUUCUUAGAGGGACAGGCGG